RNAcentral lists this microRNA (20 nucleotides) under Tribolium castaneum (red flour beetle). RNAcentral describes it as "tca-miR-9a-3p". Its record names the gene tca-miR-9a-3p. Lineage: Eukaryota; Metazoa; Arthropoda; Insecta; Coleoptera; Tenebrionidae. The record is from miRBase by way of RNAcentral.
AUAAAGCUAGGUUACCGGAG